This is a small nuclear RNA of Rhodamnia argentea, 106 nucleotides long. NCBI's taxonomy places the organism in Eukaryota, Viridiplantae, Streptophyta, Magnoliopsida, Myrtales, Myrtaceae. The record is from RefSeq and is a predicted model, not a curated record.
GCUAUCUCUCUAGAGGCUUCCGAUAAAGUUGGAGCAAUACAGAGAAAGAUUAGCACGGCCCAUCCAAAGGAUGGCCCGGACGAAUCGAGAAAUGGUCCUCGUUUUG